RNAcentral lists this ribosomal RNA (492 nucleotides) under uncultured bacterium. Its description in RNAcentral is "partial 16S ribosomal RNA". It matches the Rfam family "Bacterial small subunit ribosomal RNA", at positions 28 to 507 of the family's 1533-position model. The record is from RNAcentral.
GGUGAACGCUGGCGGUAGGCCUAACACAUGCCAGUCGAACGGCAGCACAGUAAGAGCUUGCUCUUACGGGUGGCGAGUGGCGGACGGGUGAGGAAUACAUCGGAAUCUACUUUUUCGUGGGGGAUAACGUAGGGAAACUUACGCUAAUACCGCAUACGACCUACGGGUGAAAGCAGGGGAUCUUCGGACCUUGCGCGAUUGAAUGAGCCGAUGUCGGAUUAGCUAGUUGGCGGGGUAAAGGCCCACCAAGGCGACGAUCCGUAGCUGGUCUGAGAGGACGAUCAGCCACACUGGAACUGAGACACGGUCCAGACUCCUACGGGAGGCAGCAGUGGGGAAUAUUGGACAAUGGGCGCAAGCCUGAUCCAGCCAUACCGCGUGGGUGAAGAAGGCCUUCGGGUUGUAAAGCCCUUUUGUUGGGAAAGAAAAGCAGCAGGUUAAUACCCCGCUGUUCUGACGGUACCCAAAGAAUAAGCACCGGCUAACUUCGUG